Molecule: long non-coding RNA, 381 nt
Filed under: Coffea arabica (coffee)
Lineage: Eukaryota; Viridiplantae; Streptophyta; Magnoliopsida; Gentianales; Rubiaceae
Description: long non-coding RNA (CARA_LNC005931)
Source: RNAcentral
AAGACUCCAAUGGCGGCUAGGGUUGAGGGAAUCGACGGAAAAAGCUGAGAUCAAGCGGAAAAAACAGAGGGAAGACAUCGGUAGGAGGAACGAAGGAGAAGACUAAGAGCUUUGUGAAGCUGGAAAAAGCAAAAACUUUCAAAAGGGGAGGCUUCGGCCAAAAGAACAGAGCAGAAAAAAAACAGAGGAAAAGGCCGCGGGUGCAAACGGAAACAGAGGAAGAAAGUUUCGACAAAGUGAAGGAUGAAUUCGGAAAGCUGGAACCGUCGUCGCAGGAAGCCGCCACCACCUCACCGUCAAUCCUCCACCACCAUCAACAGAUCUUCACCGAGGAAAUGCGGUAAGCCAGCCUUCUACGUUCAAUUUUUUUCCUUUAAGACC